Molecule: ribosomal RNA, 1077 nt
Filed under: Listeria monocytogenes
Lineage: Bacteria; Bacillati; Bacillota; Bacilli; Caryophanales; Listeriaceae
Description: partial 23S ribosomal RNA
Rfam family: Bacterial large subunit ribosomal RNA
Source: RNAcentral
GGAACCCACUAUCUUUAGUCGGAUAGUAUCCUUACGUGAAUACAUAGCGUGAGGAAGGCAGACCCAGGGAACUGAAACAUCUAAGUACCUGGAGGAAGAGAAAGAAAAAUCGAUUUCCUGAGUAGCGGCGAGCGAAACGGAAAGAGCCCAAACCAAGAAGCUUGCUUCUUGGGGUUGUAGGACACUCUAUACGGAGUUACAAAAGAAAGUUAUAAAUGAAGCGGUCUGGAAAGGCCCGCCAAAGACGGUAACAGCCCGGUAGUUGAAAUGGCUUUCCCUCCAGAGUGGAUCCUGAGUACGGCGGAACACGUGAAAUUCCGUCGGAAUCCGGGAGGACCAUCUCCCAAGGCUAAAUACUCCCUAGUGACCGAUAGUGAACCAGUACCGUGAGGGAAAGGUGAAAAGCACCCCGGAAGGGGAGUGAAACAGUUCCUGAAACCGUGUGCCUACAAGUAGUUAGAGCCCGUUAAUGGGUGAUAGCGUGCCUUUUGUAGAAUGAACCGGCGAGUUACGAUUUGUUGCAAGGUUAAGCGGAAAAAGCGGAGCCGUAGCGAAAGCGAGUCUGAAUAGGGCGCAUAAGUAACAGGUCGUAGACCCGAAACCAGGUGAUCUACCCAUGUCCAGGAUGAAGGUAAGGUAAUACUUACUGGAGGUCCGAACCCACGCACGUUGAAAAGUGCGGGGAUGAGGUGUGGGUAGCGGAGAAAUUCCAAUCGAACUUGGAGAUAGCUGGUUCUCUCCGAAAUAGCUUUAGGGCUAGCCUCGAGGUAAAGAGUCAUGGAGGUAGAGCACUGUUUGGACUAGGGGCCCUUCUCGGGUUACCGAAUUCAGAUAAACUCCGAAUGCCAUGUACUUAUACUCGGGAGUCAGACUGCGAGUGAUAAGAUCCGUAGUCGAAAGGGAAACAGCCCAGACCACCAGUUAAGGUCCCCAAAUAUAUGUUAAGUGGAAAAGGAUGUGGGGUUGCUUAGACAACCAGGAUGUUGGCUUAGAAGCAGCCACCAUUGAAAGAGUGCGUAAUAGCUCACUGGUCGAGUGACCCCGCGCCGAAAAUGUACCGGGGCUAAACAUAUUACC